Molecule: ribosomal RNA, 377 nt
Filed under: uncultured bacterium
Lineage: Bacteria
Description: bacterial SSU rRNA
Rfam family: Bacterial small subunit ribosomal RNA
Source: RNAcentral
AUACGUAGGGGGCGAGCGUUGUCCGGAAUGACUGGGCGUAAAGGGCGCGUAGGCGGUCGCGCAAGUCAGAUGUGAAAUCCCUAGGCUCAACCAAGGGCUUGCAUCUGAAACUGCGUGACUUGAGAGCAGGAGAGGAAAGUAGAAUUCCCGGUGUAGCGGUGAAAUGCGUAGAGAUCGGGAGGAAUACCGGUGGCGAAGGCGACUUUCUGGACUGACUCUGACGCUGAGGCGCGAAAGCUAGGGUAGCGAACGGGAUUAGAUACCCCGGUAGUCCUAGCCGUAAACGAUGGAUACUAGGUGUUGGUGGUUUAGAUACUGUCAGUGCCGCAGUUAACGCAAUAAGUAUCCCGCCUGGGGAGUAUGACCGCAAGGUUAAA